RNAcentral lists this ribosomal RNA (497 nucleotides) under uncultured bacterium. RNAcentral describes it as "partial 16S ribosomal RNA". It matches the Rfam family "Bacterial small subunit ribosomal RNA", at positions 28 to 507 of the family's 1533-position model. The record is from RNAcentral.
GAUGAACGCUGGCGGCGUGCCUAAUACAUGCAAGUCGAGCGAACAGACGAGGAGCUUGCUCCUCUGACGUUAGCGGCGGACGGGUGAGUAACACGUGGAUAACCUACCUAUAAGACUGGGAUAACUUCGGGAAACCGGAGCUAAUACCGGAUAAUAUAUUGAACCGCAUGGUUCAAUAGUGAAAGACGGUUUUGCUGUCACUUAUAGAUGGAUCCGCGCCGCAUUAGCUAGUUGGUAAGGUAACGGCUUACCAAGGCAACGAUGCGUAGCCGACCUGAGAGGGUGAUCGGCCACACUGGAACUGAGACACGGUCCAGACUCCUACGGGAGGCAGCAGUAGGGAAUCUUCCGCAAUGGGCGAAAGCCUGACGCAGCAACGCCGCGUGAGUGAUGAAGGUCUUCGGAUCGUAAACCUCUGUUAUUCGGGAAGAACAGGUGUUGAAUUAGCUAUGGAGGUAUUGACGGUACCGGAUCAAGAAGCACCGGCUAACUACGUG